AUGGCAUUAAUCACCCAAUGGAAGUUUGUAUUGAUAAGAUGUUCAGAUCCCCCACUCAUCCACCAGCUCCAGGUGGUAGUUCACAAAAGCCAGCUCCAAAUCAUCCUUAGAGACAGCCAACCAGUUUUAACCAGAAGAUCCCCAAGAUGUGAUCAAGGCACAUAUGAUAUACUUCCCCAUAAUCCUUGCUACACCAAGGACGGGAAGGAACACAAGACUCACCCAGAUCAGCCCGAGUCUUUGGAGGGGAGGACAGAUAUCGACACUCACGACAGUGCCGCCGCCGGAGGAAAGCGAAACCCUAAUGUUUUACGCUAG
This 318-nucleotide ribosomal RNA is filed under the name Triticum aestivum (bread wheat). RNAcentral describes it as "partial small subunit ribosomal RNA". Lineage: Eukaryota; Viridiplantae; Streptophyta; Magnoliopsida; Poales; Poaceae. The record is from RNAcentral.